Molecule: long non-coding RNA, 211 nt
Organism: Alosa alosa (allis shad)
Lineage: Eukaryota; Metazoa; Chordata; Actinopteri; Clupeiformes; Clupeidae
Exons: 3
Source: RefSeq, a predicted model, not a curated record
GUUGUUCUUCCUCUCUAGUCAUGGCUGGAAGUGUGGUCAGUGUCAAACUGCUCUGUAGCCGAGCUGCAUCAAUCAAUGCUGUGGACAUGGACGGAUGCACGCCUCUGUCAUUGGCUGCCCAGAGGUGCCAGGCUGGUGUGUGCCAUCCUCUUCUGGAGGCUGGCGCCUCCAUAAACCACCGGGACAAACAGAACAAAACUCCUCUGAUGUG